GCUUACGGCCAUACCACCCUGAGCACGCCCGAUCUCGUCUGAUCUCCGAAGCUAAGCAGGGUCGGGCCUGGUUAGUACUUGGAUGGGAGACCGCCUGGGAAUACCAGGUGCUGUAAGCU
Ribosomal RNA from Betta splendens (Siamese fighting fish), 119 nucleotides. Lineage: Eukaryota; Metazoa; Chordata; Actinopteri; Anabantiformes; Osphronemidae. The record is from Ensembl.